Molecule: small RNA, 944 nt
Filed under: Pan troglodytes (chimpanzee)
Lineage: Eukaryota; Metazoa; Chordata; Mammalia; Primates; Hominidae
Description: retained intron
Source: RNAcentral
UUGAUCCACCUGAAGAAUUAGGAGCUAGUAUUUCUGUCACAUCAGAUGAGCUAGAGAAAUUGCUCUAUAAACCACAAGCUGGUGAAUGGGGUCAGAAAUCAAGAGAUGAAGAAUGUGAUAGAAUUAUCAGUGGUAUAGAUCAACUUUUGAAUCUUGAUAUAGCAGCAGCUUUUGCAGGCCCUGUUGAUCUGUGUACGUACCCGAAGUACUGUACUGUAGUAGCUUAUCCAACCGAUCUUUACACAAUUCGAAUGAGACUUGUUAAUCGAUUUUACAGGAGGCUGUCCGCGUUAGUUUGGGAAGUCAGAUAUAUAGAACAUAAUGCCAGAACAUUUAACGAACCUGAGAGUGUAAUUGCAAGAUCAGCUAAAAAGAUAACUGACCAACUUUUAAAAUUUAUCAAGAAUCAACACUGUACAAAUAUCUCAGAACUUUCUAACACAUCUGAAAAUGAUGAGGAAAAUGCUGAGGAUUUGGAUGAUAGUGAUCUUCCUAAAACAUCUUCUGGAAGAAGGAGAGUCCAUGAUGGGAAAAAAAGCAUCAGAGCUACGAACUAUGUUGAAAGCAACUGGAAGAAACAGUGACUACAGAGAUAUUAUAGAUACCCCAAUGGAUUUUGGAACAGUAAGGGAAACUCUAGAUGCGGGAAAUUAUGACAGCCCUUUGGAGUUUUGCAAAGACAUCCGGCUCAUAUUUAGCAAUGCAAAAGCAUAUACACCAAACAAAAGAUCAAAGGUAAUUUUUUAUGUGGUUUAUUGAAAAAAACUGCCUGAUCUGUGUAGAUAAUUUCCCAAUGUAAUAGUAAUUUUUUCCAGUGUAAUUUUCCACUGUGUAGUAGAGGUUAGAACAUUAAAGAUAAGUGAAUAAAUUAAGACUAUUAUAAAGAAAAGAGCUUCUGCUACUGCUCAUAUAUCUUCAGUUUUUGCCUUUCAUCAGUUGAUGUU